Molecule: non-coding RNA, 29 nt
Filed under: Mus musculus (house mouse)
Lineage: Eukaryota; Metazoa; Chordata; Mammalia; Rodentia; Muridae
Source: RNAcentral
UGAUUGAACGUGCUUUUGGUCCUCCCUUG